AUUGAACGCUGGCGGCAGGCUUAACACAUGCAAGUCGAGCGGGGUGAUGGUGCUUGCACUAUCACUUAGCGGCGGACGGGUGAGUAAUGCUUAGGAAUCUGCCUAUUAGUGGGGGACAACAUCUCGAAAGGGAUGCUAAUACCGCAUACGUCCUACGGGAGAAAGCAGGGGAUCACUUGUGACCUUGCGCUAAUAGAUGAGCCUAAGUCGGAUUAGCUAGUUGGUGGUGUAGAGGCCUACCAAGGCGACGAUCUGUAGCGGGUCUGAGAGGAUGAUCCGCCCAACUGGGACUGAUGCACGGCCCAGACUCCUCCGGUAGGCAGCAGUGGGGAAUAUUGGACAAUGGGGGGCACCCUGAUCCAGCCAUGCCGCGUGUGUGAAGAAGGCCUUAUGGUUGUAAAGCACUUUAAGCGAGGAGGAGGCUCUUUUGGUUAAUACCCGAGAUGAGUGGACGUUACUCGCAGAAUAAGCACCGGCUAACUCUGUGCCAGCCGCCGCCGUAA
This 503-nucleotide ribosomal RNA is filed under the name uncultured bacterium. RNAcentral's name for it is "partial 16S ribosomal RNA". It matches the Rfam family "Bacterial small subunit ribosomal RNA", at positions 30 to 523 of the family's 1533-position model. The record is from RNAcentral.